AGGUUUGAGGGUGAUCUAGCGUGACACCUGCUACUCCAUUGAUCAUCGAGAUUGAUUCUGUCCAUCUGCCUGGCUACAAGUGUGUCUGUCCCCCUUCUUUCCACACCACUCCAUGAUCAUCCCUCCUGAAGUUCUAUAUCUGGCAGGACAAGACAGCAACCCCCAACAACGAGGAACAGUUCUUCUGUCAAGGGUAUGUAAAUAGAUAUGCUCCCCUGCUAGAACUCCCAAACAAGUUCUUAAGGCCCAGAUUAAAGGUUUUCAACUAUGCAAUGCUAUCAAUGUAAGAGGUGGGCAUU
This 299-nucleotide small nuclear RNA is filed under the name Mus pahari (shrew mouse). RNAcentral describes it as "sRNA (MGP_PahariEiJ_G0008369.1)". It matches the Rfam family "7SK RNA". From Rfam's summary of the family: 7SK was discovered as an abundant small nuclear RNA in the mid-70s but a possible function has only recently been suggested. Two independent studies have found that 7SK RNA binds the CDK9/cyclin T complex (known as elongation factor P-TEFb). Lineage: Eukaryota; Metazoa; Chordata; Mammalia; Rodentia; Muridae. The record is from RNAcentral.